Dreissena polymorpha is the source of this 258-nucleotide long non-coding RNA. RefSeq lists it as uncharacterized. Lineage: Eukaryota; Metazoa; Mollusca; Bivalvia; Myida; Dreissenidae. The transcript is spliced from 3 exons. The record is from RefSeq and is a predicted model, not a curated record.
CGAAUAUCUUGGAAUGGGCUAUUUACGAUCAUGAAGAAGCUGUCAUUCUCAAGCGACUGGUCUGUGCAGAUGGAAAUCGAAUGGAUAGUUAUGAUAUCGCAUUCACCUUAAAUUAUUUUUUGAGUCGCAAUGAUGUAGAAGUUGUCGAAGCGUUAGUUCAACUGAAUGUCGACAUGGAUUCAGCCUGGAUAGAUGCUCGGCAAUACGAAACAUUCUGUAAUGCUAGUGAUGGGUUGCCGAAACUUUUUGAGUCAAAGG